RNAcentral lists this long non-coding RNA (12866 nucleotides) under Homo sapiens (human). Its description in RNAcentral is "HSALNT0403608". Lineage: Eukaryota; Metazoa; Chordata; Mammalia; Primates; Hominidae. The record is from RNAcentral.
GUAACAACUUCCCUUUCAAGAGUCCAAGACCUCAAUUCUUUGGAGAAAAAUGGAUGAAGUUCCAGGGAUGGAAUCCGAGUGAUCGCUAAGGCAAUUCAUAUAUUUUACCCACCUUAGGAUAACUGGUUUAGGAUUGGACAAACAAUCUCAGCUGCUUCAAUCAGACUCACUUCCUUUCAUUCAGAUGGAAGAUGGGAAAACACAAUGCUAUAGACUUUGGAAUAUUGUAUGGGCUCGUAAUCAGCGUACUGAAUUUCAAGCCAUUCCUUGGCCACUCAAUGGCCACUACUAAAUCACACAACCCACCCAACUGGAGAAUUAAAUCAAAUAUCUGGAGCAAUUUAAUGUGCAUGCAUUCGUGGCCACAAAAAUGAAGAUACAAAUAAGUAGGUGAUUAAUUUUUAUUAAAAUCUGAUGAUUUUCUAUAGAAAUAAAUUCAAAUCUAUUAAGUAUAUAACUUCAGGCUAGUGUCAUAAUGCAUUCAAUUUUUGUCUGCAAAAUCUGCUCGUGCACAUCUUUGUUCAAAGAACCACUUGCUACUUAGUGACCUUAACUGAAACAUUAAUUGUUUUGUGUGCCCAAAUUUAAUAGAACCUGGCUAUCAGGGAUGAUGUCACAAAGAACAUUGUUAUUGAAAUGCCAGGAGUUUGUUCUAGGUCCUGCUGUUCACUAAACAAAAAGCCAAUCACUGAGACAAUGAGUAUUGCCAGGGAAGAAGCCUUUAAUUGGGUGCUGCGGCCUGGGAGAUGGGAGAUCAGUCUCCAAUCCAUCUCCCUGGCCAACUAAAAUUAGGGAUUUAUGUGACAGGAAGAAAAGUAACCAUGUAUAGGAAAACAGGAAUUAGGGAGGGGUAAUGAAGCAGAGUUCAUCAAUAGGAAGCAGAUGGUUGGUUAGUUAAUAAUGGCAGGCGAGGGAUAUAACAUCUCAUUGUCCAGCUGUGUUGAUCUGGUAAGUUUCAAUUCCUUGAUGCUAUCUGGGAGGUUUGGUGGCUGGUUUCUUGAUAAAGAAACUCACAUAAGACAAAUGUAACUUUCUCAAGUUUCAAGAUGGGACAGUAAAUUUCUAUGUUUAUUCAAAAGAAACCAUAAACACCAGUUCUAUGGGACAAUUGGGUAGGUUUCACCAUGACUCAUGGAAAUUAGUAUUAGAGACAUUUUGAAUAUUAGUCACAAUAAAAUAGUAGUUAAUAUUUAAGAAGCUGUGCUAAAUUCUUUACAUUCAAUCAAAUUGUUUAAGAUAUAAAAUAUCUGUACAUUUAUAUCCAUAUACAUAAUUAUAUUUCUAUCCAUCUAUCUACCUAUGAAGAUAAAUGAAUAAAGUGAUCAUAUCCUUUUAUUUUAGUCUCUGAUCAUCCUAACACAAUCUACCCAUUAAACUCAAUCUGAUUCCCAACCUCUGCCGACUUGUUUAUCCUCAGCUGAACCAUUGGACUCUCAUUUAUAGGCUUAGUUCUCUUUCAUCCUUAUGACAAAUGCUCUGGCCAUUCAGUAGUAAGAUGAGGAGCUCAAAUUUACCCCUUGAUAUUUACAAUAAUGUUGCCUUAACUUUGUGCUAUAUUCUAAUUCUGCACUAAUGCCUAUUCCUAGAAAUAUGGGCUGGACUUCACACCUCACUUCAGUUGACUGGUAUUCUGUUUUACACUUUGAGUCUCAGUCCUGGUUUAUAACCUCCCUGCUUUUUAUUUUAUUCUAAACAAGGGGUGACAUCUUACUAUUUCUGGGUUCCUCUUAGUACUAAUUCCCUAAUCCUAUACUUCCAUCUGAUGGCUAGGACCUUGACACCCUAUGAUAAUCAUUUCUGCUAUGAUCUUCCUAUGUCAAAACGCAACUUAAAGUUGUCAUGGUUCAUCAGACUAGUGUUUCCCUAAAUUGGACCUUACUGAUGCCUACUAAAGUCAGCUACCCUGAGAGCUACUUGUGGUCUUAAAUUUCUAACUAAUAAACUAUAUCAGGCUCUUGUCCUUCAGGCCUUUCCCUAAUCCCAGGUCCUGCCUAAUUCUAAACUUUUUCACCCACCAUUUUACUCAGUUCUCCUCUUCUUGCUAGGGCCAUAUGCAGGAUUGUGCCAGGUCUCAGGUAAAAAUUUUGUGUGUGUGUGUGUGUGUGUGUGUGUAUGUGUGCAUAUUCAUGUGUGCAUAUCUAUGAGCAUGUGUGUAUGUGUUUACUAUGUUUGAUAAUGAACCAUUAUGCAAGAGACAUUAAUUUUGUUGCUUUGGCUCACUUCAUAUAUUUAUUUUAAUUGCAUGCUCACUUGAAACAGCUUAACUUUCUUUGGUUGAUUUUUAAAUUAAAUUAUAUUUUAUUGGUUGCAAUCACUGUUAUCUUCCCUUGUUUGUUUAUGGUAUUAAUGUCGGGCCUUCAAAGAACUGUGGAAAUACUAAUUAUAGUUUGAGCAUGCAGAUUGGGCCAUCCAUGCAAUUGUUUAUUUCCUCAAACAUUAAUUUACUACUGUGUAGAAAGGUGCCAAAAUAUUCUGAACCCAGACUAAAUGGCUGCAUAGCAUCUUGUGGGCUUCACUUUGGAAAGCACGGCAGGAUCAAAGAGCCAAAAUAUCUGAUUUCUUUCAUGUGUUAUAGCUCAUCUCUAAUGACAGAGUGGAGACUUGUCAAUAUUGCUUCUAUUGCCCAUUUUGAGUGAACUGAUCAAACAUUUCAGGCUCAAUAUGGUCCUGCUAGAGAUCUUACUCUAGGAAUGCUAGAAGAAUAAACAUUACACUUCUGAAAAUUUUACAAAUGUUUGUCAAAGAUUUUGUGCUAAAACUGAGGAUAUACUUACUUGUUUUUGGUUUACUGCUCAGUAUAAUUAUUAUUUAUAAUUUAUAUCUUCAUAUCACCUGUUUGGUAAAACUCCAAGCAUGUGUCUCUAACCUUUGUCAAAUAAAACUGAACUUUCCCCACUUUCACUUAACAAAAUAAAUCUACAUGAUCUCUGUUUAUGUCUUUAACCCUAGAUCCUACUACACUAUUCUCUUCAUCUCUAUUGUUUCUUUCUUUUUUAUUUUAUUUUAUUUUUGAGAGAGAGUUUUGCUCUGUUGCCCAGGCUGGAGUGCAAUGGUGCGAUCUCAGCUCAUUGCAACCUCCACCUCCCAGGUUCAAGCAAUUCUCCUGCCUCAGCAUCCUGAGUAGCUGGAAUUACAGGAGCCCCCCACUAUGCCUUGAUAUAUAUAUAUUUUUUGUAUUUUUAGUAGACACAGGGUUUUACCACGUUGGCCAGGCUGAUCUCUAACUCCUGACCUAAGGUGAUCCGCCUGCCUUGCCUCCCAAAGUGGUGGGAUUACAGGUGUGAGCCACUGCGCCUGGACUCUGUAUUGUUUCUUGAUUGUCUCUCUUGAAUACUCUCCCUCACAGAAUAGGAACAACUGUUUUGGACCCCUCCUCUUAGAUAUCUCUUCUUGUUUUAAUUGCUCAUUUUAUUAAAAAAUAGUUUUAGUCAACAUUCUCAUUAUAAUUUUCAAUAAUACAUACUUGGGUUUUAAAAUGUUGUUAUACAUCUUCCACAGUAGACCAAAACGCUCAUAAGAGCAAGUCCGUUGGUAGAGCAAGUCCAUUUUUUAAUCACAUAAUCACUCUAUCCUGAAUAAUAUCAGCAUAUAAUUAUAUACCAGUGUCUUAAACAGUAGAAUAUCUGAGCAUAUUUUAGAUAUAAUAAACGUAUUCCUCAGCCAGAGUCCACCUAAAGAUAAAAGUACCCAAAUUCCUUCCUUCCCUCCACUAUCUACUCAUGUCCCUGUAACUAUUCCUGUCUUCCACAUGACCCUCCAUGAUAAACUAUUAAGACUUCCAAUCAAUCGCUGAAAUCACCUGCUGGUAACGUUCACUGGCUGAACCCAACCAGAUGCCAGAGAACAAGAGAGCGACUGAUUUACCUUUUUUUUUUUUUUUUUUUUUUUUUUUUGCAUUUUUCAGUGCUUUAUUUACAUCACACACAAUAAGUUGUGUAUAUUUCUCAGAGAGAAAAGUCAUGGUGAGUUAGACGAUACUUCUCAAAUUUUGAUGUGAACAAUAAACUAGAUUAAUUUGUCCUGCAGAGAUUUUUUUCAGGAGAUCUGGAAUAAAGUCUGAGUUUCUAAAUUUCUAGCAAGCUUACCAAUAACACCAUGUUUUGGGCUCAAGAAGAAUAUUGUGCCAAACAUCGAAUAAGUGGAAGAGCCUGGGUUUUUCCCAGUUUUUCUGACCCGUAAACAAAGACGAGAGCCUUCAUUUCCAAAGACAGAUAUGUGCAAAGAAAAUUUAAGUAGGAAGGGAAGCUUCCAGAUUAAAGGUGACAGUUUAUGCACAUUAUCUGGUAAAUCUCCCUAAGAUACUUAAUAAAGAAGAGAAAAACAAUUAACCCUAUAAUAGAAAAAUCUGUCAGAAAGCUCUAUGGCUGAGUAAAUUUAACAUCAACUGUACUAGGACAAAUCUUUAUCAUGUGCUGAUUUACACAGAAAAACACAACAUCACUGCUCUGAUAUUGGUCCCCCAAAAAGUAAAUUAUAAACUAAAUUUAAUUAUAAAGAAACAUCAGUUCUAUGCAAAGUUCAAAAUACAGAUGUCUCCCGUGUUCUGUAAAUUGUUUAACUUUUAUUUUAAGUUCAAAGGUACAUAUGCAGGAUGUACAGGUAUUUUACAUAGGUAAACCUGUGUCAUGGUGGUUGGUUGCAAAGAUUAUUUCAUCACCCAGGCAUUACACCUAGUAUCCAUUAGUAAUUUUUCCCCCUUCUCUCCCUCCUCCCAUCCUCUGCCCUCCGAUAUGCCCCAGUGUGUGUUAUUCCCCUGUAUGUGUCCAUGUGUUCUCAUCAUUUAGCUCCCACUUAUAACUGAGAACGGCAGUAUUUGGUAUUCUGUUUCUGCAUUAGUUUGCUAUGGAUAAUGGCUUCCAGCUCCAUCCAUGUUCCUGUAAACGACAUUAUCUCAUCAUAUUUUAUGGCUGCAUAGUAGUCCGUGGUACCAUAUUUUCUUUAUCCAGUCUAUCAUUGAUGGGUAUUUGGAUUGAUUGAUGUCUUUGUUAUUGUGAAUAAUGCUACAAUAAACAUAUGUGUGCAUGAGUCUUUAUAAUAGAACAAUUUGUAUUCCUUUGGGUAUCUACUCAACAAUGGGAUUGUUGGGUUGAAUGGUAGUUCAGUCUUUAAGGACUCACCACACUCUUCCACAAUGAUUGAACUAAUUUACACUCCCACCAACAGUGUAAAACAAUUCCUUUUUCUCCACAACCUAACCAGCAUCUGUUAUUCUUUGACUUUUUAAAUAAUAGCCAUUCUUUUGUGAGAUAGUAUCUCAUUGUGAUUUUGAUUUGCAUUUCUCUAAUGAUCAGUUAUUUUGAGCUUUUCUCAUGAUUGUUUGCCGCAUGUGGAUCUUUUUUUGAGAAAUGUCUGUUUAUGUCCCUUGCCCUCAUUUUAAUGGAAUUGUUUUUUUUCUUCCUUGUAAAUUGGUUUAAAUUCCUUAUAGGUGCUGGAUAUUAGACCUUCGUCAGACACAUAGACCAGUGGAACAGAAUAGAGAACCCAGAAAUUAGAUCACUCAUCUUCAACCAUCCAAUCUUCGACAAACCUGACAAAAAGCAAUGGGGAAAGGACUCCCUGUUCAAUAAAUGGUGCUGGGAGAAAUGGCUGGCCAUAUUGUGUCUAGAAUUUAUUCCUUCCAGUGGGUUCUUGGUCUCGCUGGCUUCAAGAAUGGAGCCGCAGACCUUUGCAGUGAGUGUUACAGCUCAUAAAGGUGUUGCAGACCCAAAGAGUGAGCAGCAGCAAGAUUUACUGUGAAGAGCGAAAGAACAAAGCUUCCACAGCAUGGAAGGGCACUUUCCGCUGCUGGCUCAGGUGGCCAGCUUUUAUUCCCUUAUUUGGCCCCACCCACAUCCUGCUGACUGGUCCAUUUUACAGAGCCCUGAUUGGUCCAUUUUACAGAGUGCUGAUUGGUGUGUUUACAAUCCUUUAUCUAGACACUGAGCACUGAUUGGUGCGUUUUUACAGAGGGCUGAUCAGUGCGUUUAUUUUCCUUUAGCUAGACACAGAGCGCUGAUUGGUGCGUUUUUACAGAGUGCUGAUUGGUGCAUUGACAAUCCUUUAGCUAGACACAGAGUGCUGAUUGGUGCAUUUUUACAGAGUGCUGAUUGGUGCAUUUACAAUCCUUGAGCUAGACACAGAGCGCUGAUUGCGUUUACAAUCCUCUAGCUAGAUAGAAAAGUUCUCCAAGUCCCCACUUGACCCAGGAAGUCCAGCUGGCUUCACUUCUCAAUAUGUAGAAAAUUGAAACUGGACCCCUUCCUUACACCACAUACAAAUAUUAAAUCAAAAGAGAUUAAAAACCUAAAUGUAAAACUCAAAACUAAGAAAACCUUGAAAGACAGCUGAGGCAAUACCAUUCGGGACAUAGGCCAUGAGCAAAGAUUUCAUGAGAAAAAUGCCAAAGGCAACUGCAAGAAAACAAAAAAUUGACAAAUGGGACCUAACUAAACUGAAGAACUCUGCACAGCAAAAGAAACUGUCUGCAGAGUAAACAGACCACCUACAGAAUGGGAGAAAAUGUUUGCACUGAUUUACUUUCACAAAGUCAGUUUGUGAAAGAAAAAGAGAACAAGUGGAAUUUGAAAGGCAAUGGCUAAUUUCUUAUGCAUCAGUGAAGACAUUGGAAUCCAAUAGAGUUGAGUGCAAAGCCCACCCUGCCCCAAUUCUGUGCCUAUAAAGACCUCAGGCUCAGCCAGCAGAGAGGAAAAGUGGCUGGAUGUUGAGAGAGGCAGUUUGACUCCAGAGAUGGCAGCUGGAUGUCGGAAAGCAGCAACUUGACUUCACAAGAGAGAGGCAGAGGUGACUUAAUAUCAGAGGAGAGCAACCUGCCCUUCCCAUCCCCUUUCCAUCUCCCCUCUUGCUGAGAGCCGCUCUCGUCACGCAAUAAAAUUCACCACAUUCACCAUCCUUCAAUUUAUAUUUGCGACCUCAUUCCUCUUGGGCACCGGACAAGAAUUUGGGAUGCACCAAGUGUGGACACCCACAAAGGCUGUCACAGUGGCCCUUUGCCAUUGCCAGCAGAGGGCAGCUGCCCCAUGCAAUAAGCCAAAGGGCUGGCUGAGCUGAUAACACACUGCUUUCUGUGGACGGCGGCGGAGCUAAAAGAGUAUUGUAACAUGCCCUCUGGGGCCUUGGGGAACCCCACCUGGAUCCUGCCAAGAGGCCUGCAUGAAGUUUGCUCCUGCCAGCACUAAAGCAGCCAGUUUUUUCCUGCACUCACUCACCUGCACACUUCCUCCUGCGAUGGGUGGGACACAGUCAACCUGAGUGAGCAGAGUUUGCUCAUGCAGGCACCUAAAUUGCUGGCAAGUUCCUGAGCUCAUUCGCUUCAAUUCCCGUACUCAUUUGCAUGGGUGCUCCCUCCCACAAGGGGUUGAACAGGACAGGUUGAGUAAAUGGUGCACCCCUCUUUUGAGUCCCACCAAGGGUCAAGAAAAUAUCCUGCAUCACUUUGUCAACUUAUGCCACUUAAAGGACAUGCUGCCUACUUUAGACUUAUUUACAAGUUUGCAUAAUUUUUAGACAUAGACAACGCCGUUUAUCUCUGCAAUUACUAUCAAUUCUAACCUAGGAAGCACCAAGUUAAUGGCAAUAAAAAAAAAAAGAAUAAACAACUGUUUCCAGCAACAAGGUGACUGUACCAGUAAUUAAUUUAUUGCCUUCCAGAGGCAAAUUCACUAUUGCCUGUUCUGAGAAAAAGAAUCUGGGCCCUUCAAAUAGCUGCCAGAAUGUAAAAACUUGCCAGCAGAUGGUGGUGGAGAGAUGCUGGAGGUGGAAGGGAUUUCAUCCCAGGUCUGGUAUGCUCCCUCAUCAGGCUCUCACAGUGGAACACACCUUCUCCAACACCUGGCUCCUGUUCAGCAGCACCCAGAGACCAUCAGCUUCCUUUUGCACUCCUUUCAGAUAAUUUAGCAGUUGAGUCUCUCUGGAAAAAUCAAUAGCUUUCCAUGACACCCCAGAGGAUGAAUCUCCUGCCUGCCCAAAAGGCAUAUUUUCAGCAAUUUCUUCCAGUACAGCCCCACUGCAACUACUCUGCCACCCAGUGAGAGCCACAUUCUCUUUUCUUUUUUUUCUUUUUUUUAAUUUUUGAUUUCCAACUUUUAAGCUCAAGGGAACAUGUUCAGGAUAUAGAGUGUGCAGUUUGGUACAUAGGUAAACAUGUGCCUUGUGGUUUGCUGCACAGAUCAUCCCAUCACCUAGGUAUUAAGCCCAGCAUCCAUUAGCUGUUCUUCCUGAUGCUCUCCCUCCUCCCAUGCCCCACCCUCCAACAGGCCCUAGUCUGUGUUGUUCUCUCCCCGGCAAUUCCUCAAAGACUUAGAGGCAGAAAUACCAUUUGACCCAGCAAUCCCAUUAUUGGGUAUAUACCCAAAGGAAUAUAAAUCAUUCAAUCAGGAACAUAUACGCAUGUGUACGUUCACUGCAGCACUAUUCACAAUAGCAAAGACAUGGAAUCAACCUAAAUGUCCAUCAAUGAUAGACUGGAUAAAGAAAAUAUGGUACAUACACACCAUGGAAUACUAUGCAGUCACAAAAAGGAAUGAGAUCAUGUCUUUUGUAGGGACAUGGAUGGGGCUGGAAGUCAUUAUCCUCAGAAAACUAAUGCAGGAACAGAAAAACCAAACAGUGCAUGUUCUCACUUAUAUGUGGGAGCUGAGUGUUGAGAACACAUGGACACAUGGUAGUGAGCCACAUUCUUACCCUUUCCAAUAAGGCUUGAAUCUCAUCUUGGUAGGGAGGGAGCAGUCUUACUGGAUGCUGUAUUUCAGCACCAGGGAUUGGAGAACACUCCCUCACUUUUGCAUCAGCUAAUCCUGUACUCUAUAAAAUUCUUUUCAUUUAUUACAAUCCUAUUCCUCCAUACACAAAUCUCCUGUUAAAAUUAAUAACUUUUAUAUCAAACUUCCUCUGUUCACAUUACUGUGUUGGUUUCUCCCUCCUGAUUGGAUCACAACUGAUACAAUUGGGUUAAAUACUUUUUCAUAAAAUAAAUUAUUAAAUCCAUUCCUUUAGUGUGUAAGUAUUUAGAGUUUACAAAUUACUGAGAUUUAAUUCUACAAAUUAUACAUAUUUACAAUCUAGGUGAAGGCACUCAAGAGAUAUUUAAACAUUUCCCCUCUAAGACAUCAGUUUAAAGAAAGACAGAAAGAAAGAAAGAAAGAAAGAAAGAAAGAAAGAAAGAAAGAAAGAAAGAAAGAAAGAAAGAAAACCCUUUGCUAGCACAAAACAGUCCCCAAAACCUUACUGUUGGGGUUGAGAAACUGAUACCUCCUAUGGCACUUUGGAAUGCUGAGUACUUUGAAUCAAAGGAGUUGAAAGACCAUAGAAGCAACUUCAGAACCAAUGUCACUCUGACCUCCUGCUCUUCUGUCUCUUACCCUCUUUCUCCUGCAAUAGUGCAAGGAGGGGCUCUCCCUGAACUUUCCUUAUCUGUCUAAAGAUUGGCCCUCUAGAAAGAAUACACUUGUCAUGAGUGUUUUUCCUGGGAAUCUCAUCAGCCAGGGAAAAGUAAAAGUAUCACAGGGGAGGAAACUGAAAGUUGACAACAUGCCCAGGCAGAUUUUAUCACAGACUAUCGCCUCUUUUUCUGAGACUGUUUAUUACCUGAAAGACCUUUUGUUUGCAUAACAAGACAACCUUUGUUCACCCUGCAUUUUCUCCCCUCACUCUCCCAUAACUUGUGUCACCACCAACCCUAGAAUCCCCAGGCCUGUAUUCCUUUCUUCAGCUCAAGAUGUUAUAUAUGUUUCAAUCAUCUGCCCCCUUUUCAAGUCUCAUAUUUUGUGGGACUCCUAUGUGUAUGCAAAUAAUUAAAAUGUUUUUUUCUCCUGUUAGUAAUUAUCAAACCUUCAGAGGAUAAAGAAAGUUUCCUUUCUCUAUAUUAAUAAUCUCUAGUCCCAACAUUCCAUUCCUCAUUCCCCAGCAUUCACACACACAUUUCCAUGCUGCUUUUCAACAAAAAGUUUUAUUUCCUGCAGUGUAGCAAAAUAACAUGAUUCUAAGUUCUCUUUUAUAAAAUCUGUUAGCUAUUAUAAUUCCUUCACUCACUUUCCCCUUUGUAAUAAAUUUUUCCCCAUCCAUUAAAAUAAUAUGGGCUUAGUAGAAUGCUUAAAAAAUAAAGAUCCACAUGAAAAAUUUAAAGUCAUGUAUAAACAUAUAAUUUAGUGAUAAUUAGUGUUAACAUUUUGGCUCAUUUUCUCUUUGCCUUUGUAAAAUUACAUUAGUCUUGGAUUUGUUUCUUUUCCUACCCCUAUCACAAAAGAUGCUCCUCUUCAUCCAUGGUUACUAUUUUAGUGUGCCCUAAAGGAUAUCACAGCUGAUAUGUCAGGCUACAGUUGUAACUUCCCUAAAAUUAUGACCUUCUUCUAUCGUUGAUGUUGUCACCACGUGGUAAUGAAAUCUUAGGAUAUUAUAAAUAGUUUGGUAUUUGAUUCUCAUAUUUAAUAAUGAAUCUAGAGAUUUCAGGGAAGAAAUAAAGUUGAUAUUGUUUGGAUAUUUGUUCCCUUUAAAUGUCAUCUUGAAAUUUGAUCCUCAGUGUUGGAGGUGGAGCUUAGUGAAAGGCAUCUAGGUCAUGCAGCACUCCUAGCACCUCCAAGGUCUGCUUUUUCAAAAGAGUCUGGAGCCUCCCUUUAUUCACUUUUUCCUUCUCUCUCACCGUGUGUUGGUUUCUCUCCUUUCCCUUCUGCCAUGAGUGAAAACUUUCUGAAGCCCUCAUCAGAAGCAGAUGCUGGUACCAUGCUUGCACAGCCUGCACGAGUGUAAGCCAAAUAAACCUCUUUUCUUUAUAAAUUCCUCAGCCUCAUAGUAUUCCUUUACAGCUAUGCAAAUGGACUAAGACAAGAGUUGAUCCCCUUCAACCACACAGAAAAAGACUUCCACUUUGUUGAAUUUGCUUCAUUUACAAACAAAACUCUAAUAAUAAUAGUAUACAGAGAAUUAAAGAAUACAAUUGAUCAUAUGCACUGACUUAGAAAAGGAAUGCACAUGGGAUGGCAAAAUAGAGAAGGCUUCUUGUGAGUGUGUGGGGGAGGCAGGAUAGGGUUAUCUGGGUCUUUAAAAAAACACUUGACUUAAGCAGAGAGGGCUAUGAGAGGGCUUAAUAAAAGUACAGAGGUAGAAAUACAGAAGAGGUAUAAAAAUAACAAAUAGUCUUAUGUGAUUACAACUUGACAUAUGUAAUUUAGCGGAAGCAUUUUCUACUUCUGAAACAAAUUAUGAUUAACACUUCCUGUAAUAGGUUUAUAAUUAUGUAAACCUAUUUAAAUCAAUCAUUUGCACAACAAAAUGAAUGAAUUAAUUUGUUGCAGCUGUGUUUACUGAGGCACACAUGUAAAGCAAUUUUAAAUGCUGUCAAGUAACAAUGAUUUCGUUUCAUGACUCACACUAAGUGAGAAAUUCUGAUUUUUUUAAGACAAAGUUUAAAAAAUCAAAAACUUAAAACUCCUGGAACUAAAAGCAUAGAAGAAAAGCUUCAUGACAUAGGACAUGACAAUGUGUUCUCACAUAUGACACCAAAGCACAGGGAAAGAAAGCAAAAGUAGAAAAGGGACUAUAUCAAACUCAAAAACUUUUGUGCAUUGAAGGACACACCUAACAGCCUGAAAAGGCAACCUAUGGAGUAGGAGAAAAUAUUUGCAAAUCAUAUAUAUCUAUACAUAUAUAUGGAUAUGAUAGUAAAUUGUUAUACAGAAAAUAUAAAAAGAACUUCUAUAACUCAAUAACAAAAAUCAAAUAACUUAUUUUUUUAAAUGGGCUAAGGACUUGAAUAGAUAUUUCUCCAAAAGUAAUACGCAAAUGGACCACAGUCAUAUAAAACAAAUAUUUGACAUCAUAAAUAAUUAGGGAAAUGCAAGUUAAAAUCACAAGAUAUCAUCUUACAUUCACUAGUAUGACUGCUAUCAAAAAAAUGAAACAAAACAGAAAAUAACAAAUGUUAGUGAGAAUGUGGAGAAAUUGGAACCCUAGUACACUGUUGGCGGGAUUGUGCAACCACUAUGCAAAAAUUAUAAAAAAUUAAAAAUAGAACUACCAUAUUACCCAACAAUUCCACAUCUGGGAUUUUAACCAAUACUUUUAACCAAAAGUAUUGAAAGAAGAGUCUCAAAGAGAUAUUUGAACACUCAUGUUUAUAGAAGCACUAUUUAAAACACCAACAAGUAGAAGCAGCCCAAAUAUCCAUUGACAAGUGAAUGGAUGAAGGAAAUGUAGUAUAUACACAUACAAUGGAAUAUUAUUCACCCCUAAAAAGGAAAUCUUGUCACAUACUACAGCAGGGAUAAGCCUGAAUGAUAUGCUAAAUAAAUAAGCCAGUCACAAUAAGACAAAUACUGUAUGAUUCAACUUCUAUAAAAUGGUGAUUACUAGGGACUGAGGUGAAAAAGUUCUAGAUAUAUGUAUUACAACAAGUUGAAUAUACUUAAAACUACUGAAUUGCACUCUUAAAAUGAUUAAAAUGAAGAAAAUACAUGUUUUUAACUACAAUUUAAUUUUUUUUAAAUCACAAAUUUAGUGAUAGGUAUGUGGCUUUAUAGAUGUUUUAAUCCAAACUUCACAUUUUAACAAUAAAAGUACUAGGACCUUAGAAGAUGGGUGACUGGUUUCAGAUUAUCCAGUCAAGAUGAAAAUUUAUGCCUUCCAAAUUACCACAUCUUAGGUGUCUUCAUCUGCUAGCUUAAUCCCAGGUUGUUCCUGGACUAUCUCUACAUCAAGCAGUGAAAGCUUAACUCCCUUCAUGUUUUACGAUGGAUAAAUAUGUGAGGUGAAAAUCAAGAGGCUAGCAUUGACCCAAUGUACAUCAUCUAUCAAGGAGACAAUGUUCGUUUGUUCUUUGAUGAAUCUCUAAGACAACAUUGUCAUGAUUUUGUUUUCAUCACACAUUUGCAUUAGGU